UGGCUCAGUGGUAGAGUGCUUGCCUUGCAUGCAUGUGGCCCUGAGUUUGAUUCCUCAG
Molecule: transfer RNA, 58 nt
Filed under: Dipodomys ordii (Ord's kangaroo rat)
Lineage: Eukaryota; Metazoa; Chordata; Mammalia; Rodentia; Heteromyidae
Rfam family: tRNA
About the family: Transfer RNA (tRNA) molecules are approximately 80 nucleotides in length. Their secondary structure includes four short double-helical elements and three loops (D, anti-codon, and T loops).
Source: Rfam by way of RNAcentral